CAACACCCAUGCCACCGAUCCUAAGCAGAGAAAAUCCUCAAAAGUUGACAAGGGCUAGGCAAAGUGCUUCUUCUGCAAAAAGCUAGAUCAUUGGAAAGAAAUUAUCCUGCUUAUAUAGCCACCCUUGACCCAAACAGGCCUAAAAAUAAAAAGAAAAAGCAAGUGGUUGUUUCACAAGGUACUUAUAUGAUAACUUUUUAUAAUUUCUCUAUUUAUGAUACUACUAUCUAGAUAUUGGAUACUGAAAGUUCUAUUAAUAUAUAUAAUUUAUUACAGAGACUACAGAUAAGUAGAAAGUUUCGAGAGGGCG
RNAcentral lists this long non-coding RNA (310 nucleotides) under Elaeis guineensis (African oil palm). RNAcentral describes it as "long non-coding RNA (EGUI_LNC068212)". The record is from RNAcentral. Lineage: Eukaryota; Viridiplantae; Streptophyta; Magnoliopsida; Arecales; Arecaceae.